Molecule: ribosomal RNA, 305 nt
Filed under: uncultured bacterium
Lineage: Bacteria
Description: partial 16S ribosomal RNA
Rfam family: Bacterial small subunit ribosomal RNA
Source: RNAcentral
ACAGCAGUCGCCGCGGGAAUACGUAGGGUGCAAGCGUUAAUCGGAAUUACUGGGCGUAAAGCGCGCGUAGGCGGUUUCUUAAGUCUGAUGUGAAAGCCCACGGCUCAACCGUGGAGGGUCAUUGGAAACUGGGAAACUUGAGUGCAGAAGAGGAAAGUGGAAUUCCAUGUGUAGCGGUGAAAUGCGCAGAGAUAUGGAGGAACACCAGUGGCGAAGGCGACUUUCUGGUCUGUAACUGACGCUGAUGUGCGAAAGCGUGGGGAUCAAACAGGAUUAGAUACCCCUGUAGUCCCUGUCUCUUAUAC